RNAcentral lists this ribosomal RNA (1858 nucleotides) under Shewanella gaetbuli. Its description in RNAcentral is "partial 23S ribosomal RNA". It matches the Rfam family "Bacterial large subunit ribosomal RNA", at positions 1 to 1897 of the family's 2925-position model. The record is from RNAcentral. Lineage: Bacteria; Pseudomonadati; Pseudomonadota; Gammaproteobacteria; Alteromonadales; Shewanellaceae.
GGUUAAGUGACUAAGCGUAUACGGUGGAUGCCUUGGCAGUCAGAGGCGAUGAAGGACGUAGUAACUUGCGAAAAGCGUUGGCGAGCUAGUAACAAGCAUUUGAGCUAACGAUGUCCGAAUGGGGAAACCCACUUACAUAAGUAAGUAUCUUACACUGAAUACAUAGGUGUAAGAGGCAAACCCGGGGAACUGAAACAUCUAAGUACCCGGAGGAAAAGAAAUCAACCGAGAUUCCCCUAGUAGCGGCGAGCGAACGGGGAUUAGCCCUUAAGUCAGUGGGGUGUUAGUGGAAUGUGUUGGAAAGCACAGCGGCACAGGGUGAUAGCCCCGUACACGAAAACUAACCAUUGAUGAAAACGAGUAAGACGGGACACGUGACAUCCUGUUUGAAUAUGGGGGGACCAUCCUCCAAGGCUAAAUACUCCUGACUGACCGAUAGUGAACCAGUACCGUGAGGGAAAGGCGAAAAGAACCCCUGUGAGGGGAGUGAAAUAGAACCUGAAACCGUAUACGUACAAGCAGUGGGAGCGGUUCUUGAGACCGUGACUGCGUACCUUUUGUAUAAUGGGUCAGCGACUUACAUUUUGUAGCGAGGUUAAGCGAAUAGCGGAGCCGUAGGGAAACCGAGUGUUAACUGCGCGUUUAGUUGCAAGGUGUAGACCCGAAACCCGGUGAUCUAGCCAUGGGCAGGUUGAAGGUUGAGUAACAUCAACUGGAGGACCGAACCGACUUAUGUUGAAAAAUGAGCGGAUGACUUGUGGCUGGGGGUGAAAGGCCAAUCAAACCGGGAGAUAUCUGGUUCUCCUCGAAAGCUAUUUAGGUAGCGCCUCGAGCGAAUACCAUUGGGGGUAGAGCACUGUUAAGGCUAGGGGGUCAUCCCGACUUACCAACCCUUUGCAAACUCCGAAUACCAAUGAGUACUACUCGGGAGACAGACGGCGGGUGCUAACGUCCGUCGUCAAAAGGGAAACAACCCAGACCGUCAGCUAAGGUCCCAAAGUGUAUGUUAAGUGGGAAACGAUGUGGGAAGGCUUAGACAGCUAGGAUGUUGGCUUAGAAGCAGCCAUCAUUUAAAGAAAGCGUAAUAGCUCACUAGUCGAGUCGGCCUGCGCGGAAGAUUUAACGGGGCUAAACAUACCACCGAAGCUACGGGUUUGCAGUUUACUGCAAGCGGUAGAGGAGCGUUCUGUAAGCGGUUGAAGGUGAAGGGGUAACCCACACUGGACGUAUCAGAAGUGCGAAUGCUGACAUGAGUAACGAUAAAGGGAGUGAAAAACUCCCUCGCCGAAAGACCAAGGGUUCCUGUCCAACGUUAAUCGGGGCAGGGUGAGUCGACCCCUAAGGCGAGGCUGAAAGGCGUAGUCGAUGGGAAACAGAUUAAUAUUUCUGUACUUUUGCUAACUGCGAUGGAGAGACGGAGAAGGCUAGGCUAGCGCGGCGUUGGUAGUCCGCGUUUAAGGUAGUAGGCCGUACACUUAGGCAAAUCCGGGUGUACAUUGGCUGAGAGCUGAUGACGAGUCACUACGGUGAUGAAGUAGUUGAUGCCAUGCUUCCAGGAAAAUCUUCUAAGCUUCAGGUUAGUAGGAAUCGUACCCCAAACCGACACAGGUGGUCGGGUAGAGAAUACCAAGGCGCUUGAGAGAACUCGGCUGAAGGAACUAGGCAAAAUGGUACCGUAACUUCGGGAGAAGGUACGCUGCUGGCGGUGAUGAGACUUGCUCUCUAAGCUGCUGGCAGUCGCAGAUACCAGGUGGCUGCAACUGUUUAUCAAAAACACAGCACUGUGCAAAAUCGCAAGAUGACGUAUACGGUGUGACGCCUGCCCGGUGCCGGAAGGUUAAUUGAUUGGGUUAUCCCU